This is a long non-coding RNA of Canis lupus familiaris (dog), 1081 nucleotides long. RefSeq lists it as uncharacterized. Lineage: Eukaryota; Metazoa; Chordata; Mammalia; Carnivora; Canidae. The record is from RefSeq and is a predicted model, not a curated record. The transcript has 2 exons.
CUCCCCCACACCCCCGCCCCCUGCCCUUCCCGAGGGCAGCAGCCGCGGCCCGGAGAUAAGCGCUAGCGCGGCGCAGGGCUCUCUGCCUGGGCUAGUGGCACCGACUUGGGAAAAGAAAACGCAGAGACCUGGAACACCGGUGCUUUUCCUGUUGAAGAUCAGAAGAUCAGCCUGGCUAAAGCAAUGGAGAAGACCCGCCGCCUGCGACGGUCUACACAUUUGAAAGGCAGUAACUUCCCUCUUGCCAAGGAAAGGCGGCCGAAGGAUAGGAGAAACUACAGGGGGCGAGACAAGUUUCCUCAACGCAGAUCUGUGACUGACGACCAUUCCUGAGCUCAGAGUCUCCGCACGCGCCGCAAACAGUCGACAGGGAGAGCGGCCCACGCGGCAGCCGCCGCGCCCAUGGCCUCUACUUGCUUUUGCCCUGCUGCUCGGUGCAGCGGUUUGUUUGGAGCUUCCCGAAGAAAGAAACACACCCCGUUGACACCCCCCACCCCCACGCACACUCAUCUUUGGUCUCAGCAACCGCCCCUCCUGCACAAGGCCGGCCGGCUUUCAGCUUUCGGGGAAGAUUCUUUGUCUUCCCGAAGCCCCGCAUCCGCAAGGAGUGCAGCUGAAGGGAACCCAGCUCCAAAAUGCCUCCGAAGUUAAAUAUUGACCAGAACCUCUUUCAGAGGGCUGCAGCUCCCUGGAAGAGUAAACUCCUUCCAAAGGCCCUAGCAAAGCCCAGCGGAGUGAAGAGUUAGCACAGCGCUUACCUCCAAAGAUGUUUAAGACUGAUCCAGUGAUUGUCUCCAACUCCUGGCACUCAGGGAGUCGCCUUUUCCGGUGUCCUGGCGCUCUGCGGACAAAUAAACAGCAAAGGGUAAAUGGUGGCUGCGAAGGAAGCGAGUUGGAGAACCGGAGUUGGAAGUGCGGCCCGCGCGGGCGCCAGGGUGGCCCCCCGGCUGACGCGGACACGGAGGAGUCGCCAGGGCACUGGUCCAUGAGGCGCACUCGUUGCUCGAAAGGGUCCAGUCUAAGGAUGGCUCGAAGAUGGUGAUUUAUUUUUGUAAAAUAAAUACAUACUCCCAUCUCCGCA